Molecule: ribosomal RNA, 253 nt
Filed under: uncultured bacterium
Lineage: Bacteria
Description: partial 16S ribosomal RNA
Rfam family: Bacterial small subunit ribosomal RNA
Source: RNAcentral
UACGAAGGGUGCUAGCGUUACUCGGAUUUAUUGGGUGUAAAGCAUGCGUAGGCGGGCUUGUAAGUUGGUUGUGAAAUCCCUGGGCUCAACCUAGGAACUGCAAUCAAUACUGCUUGCCUUGAAUUCGGUAGUGAGUAGGGGAAUUCCUGGUGUAGGGGUAAAAUCCGUAGAUAUCAGGAGGAAGACCGGAAGCGAAGGCGCUUACUUAGGCCGAUAUUGACGCUGAGGCAUGAAAGCGUGGGGAUCAAACAGG